CUACUAGUCCUGAUUGUGUGUCUGAUGAUACAGGAAACUCAAGUCUGUCUGUUCCUCUAGGGAUCCUAUUGCCAGCCAACCUGUGAUACCAGGGUUGAACAGAAAGCAAUGUGAUCAGAUUGUGAAUUUGAUUCAACAGACUCUUUCAAAGGAUUCUAGUGAUCAAGUUUCUUCUCCCAUGUGUUCUGCUAAUUUUGCUGGUACUAUGAUGUCUGAGAGUCUUGUUUCUGA
RNAcentral lists this long non-coding RNA (231 nucleotides) under Nicotiana benthamiana. RNAcentral describes it as "long non-coding RNA (NBEN_LNC000895)". The record is from RNAcentral. Lineage: Eukaryota; Viridiplantae; Streptophyta; Magnoliopsida; Solanales; Solanaceae.